AAGCAAACACUUACUUUUCUGUUUUCGGUGACGGAUGUUAAGUGAACUGGUGGUGUCAUUGCGCAGGCUGUGUGCAUCCAGUCCCUGUGCUGACUUCUUAAACUUACACGGCGCCCACUCAGCCUGCCUCAGCUGCUGGAGCAGCGAAUAGCCGUGCAGAGGCCUUUCCGGCUGUCCCCCGCCUCAGAGAGAACUCACUCCUCCUGGUACUAGCGGUCCUCUCCACAGUCUGACUUGGUGAAGAGCAGGAGGAGGGGACACGAGUUUCACAAUUCUUCACUCAGCGACUGUGCACCGAGCACUCACCCUGUGCCAGGUGCUCAGAACUCCACGCAGGAGAUCUUUGAAGAGCUACAUGAUGGGUUCGACUUCUCUCCCUCCCUAGUCAAGGGGCAGGAGCAGCAGGCCGCCAGCAGCAUCCUGUGCCGGUCUGAGAACUCCACUCAGGAGAUGUUUGAAGAGUUAUGUGUUGGGUUCGACUUCUCUCCCCUCCCUAGUCAAGGGGCAGGAGCAGCAGGCCACCAGCAGCAUCCUGUGCCGG
This 541-nucleotide long non-coding RNA is filed under the name Equus asinus (donkey). RNAcentral's name for it is "lncRNA (ENSEASG00005037557.1)". Lineage: Eukaryota; Metazoa; Chordata; Mammalia; Perissodactyla; Equidae. The record is from RNAcentral.